GUUCGAAUAGUUUAUCAAAAAUUCAAAGCUUGUAACUUUGAGAAGUUUUCAAACUUCGAACU
Molecule: transfer RNA, 62 nt
Filed under: Microthoracius praelongiceps
Lineage: Eukaryota; Metazoa; Arthropoda; Insecta; Psocodea; Microthoraciidae
Description: tRNA-Thr
Source: RNAcentral